Molecule: ribosomal RNA, 253 nt
Filed under: uncultured bacterium
Lineage: Bacteria
Description: partial 16S ribosomal RNA
Rfam family: Bacterial small subunit ribosomal RNA
Source: RNAcentral
UACGUAGGGGGCUAGCGUUGUCCGGAAUCAUUGGGCGUAAAGAGCGUGUAGGCGGCCCGGUAGGUCCGCUGUGAAAGUCGGGGGCUCAACCCUCGAAUGCCGGUGGAUACUGUCGGGCUAGAGUGCGGAAGAGGCGAGUGGAAUUCCUGGUGUAGCGGUGAAAUGCGCAGAUAUCAGGAGGAACACCAAUUGCGAAGGCAGCUCGCUGGGACGUAACUGACGCUGAGACGCGAAAGCGUGGGUAGCAAACAGG